RNAcentral lists this ribosomal RNA (387 nucleotides) under uncultured bacterium. Its description in RNAcentral is "bacterial SSU rRNA". It matches the Rfam family "Bacterial small subunit ribosomal RNA", at positions 28 to 419 of the family's 1533-position model. The record is from RNAcentral.
GACGAACGCUGGCGGCGUGCUUAACACAUGCAAGUCGAGCGGAAAGGCCCUUUCGGGGUACUCGAGCGGCGAACGGGUGAGUAACACGUGAGUAAUCUGCCCUUGGCUUUGGGAUAACCACCGGAAACGGUGGCUAAUACCGGAUAUGACGGGCUCCGGCAUCGGGGUUCGUGGAAAGUUUUUUCGGCCAGGGAUGUGCUCGCGGCCUAUCAGCUUGUUGGUGGGUAAUGGCCUACCAAGGCUUCGACGGGUAGCCGGCCUGAGAGGGUGACCGGCCACACUGGGACUGAGACACGGCCCAGACUCCUACGGGAGGCAGCAGUGGGGAAUAUUGGACAAUGGGCGGAAGCCUGAUCCAGCAACGCCGCGUGAGGGAUGACGGCCUUC